RNAcentral lists this long non-coding RNA (223 nucleotides) under Elaeis guineensis (African oil palm). RNAcentral describes it as "long non-coding RNA (EGUI_LNC054477)". The record is from RNAcentral. Lineage: Eukaryota; Viridiplantae; Streptophyta; Magnoliopsida; Arecales; Arecaceae.
UUGGAGUUUUAUGGUUUCAUGCAUGCAUGAUUUUACAAAAUAUGUACGCAGUGGAAUUUUAAAAAUUUUCAGAUUAAAUCUAAUUUAAUCUAAGCAUGCAUAAGAUCAUAUCUUCAAACCAUAACAGGAUCAUCAUAUGUGAGAUAAGAUUCAGAUAUAAAAACUAAAUAGAAAAAAAUAAACAUAAAACAUACCUGGAUAUGGAUCAAUCCUCAAUGCGAAC